AAUACAUGCAAGUCGAACGAAUCUCUUUUAGAGAUGAGUGGCGAACGGGUGAGUAAUACAUAGGUAACCUGCCCCUGUGCGGGGGAUAACAGGAGGAAACUCCUGCUAAUACCGCAUAGCCAUGAGCACCGCAUGGAGCUCAUGCCAAAUAUCCUUUAUGGGAUAGCGCAGGGAUGGACCUAUGGCGCAUUAGCUGGUUGGCGGGGCAACGGCCCACCAAGGCAACGAUGCGUAGCCGGCCUGAGAGGGCGGACGGCCACAUUGGGACUGAGACACGGCCCAGACUCCUACGGGAGGCAGCAGUAGGGAAUUUUCGGCAAUGGGGGAAACCCUGACCGAGCAACGCCGCGUGAGCGAAGAAGGCCUUCGGGUCGUAAAGCUCUGUUGUAAAGGAAGAACGGCGCAUACAGGAAAUGGUAUGCGAGUGACGGUACUUUACCAGAAAGCCACGGCUAACUACGUGCCAGCAGCCGCGGUAAUACGUAGGUGGCGAGCGUUAUCCGGAAUCAUUGGGCGUAAAGAGGGAGCAGGCGGCCGCAAGGGUCUGUGGUGAAAGACCGAAGCUAAACUUCGGUAAGCCAUGGAAACCGGGCGGCUAGAGUGCGGAAGAGGAUCGUGGAAUUCCAUGUGUAGCGGUGAAAUGCGUAGAUAUAUGGAGGAACACCAGUGGCGAAGGCGACGGUCUGGGCCGCAACUGACGCUCAUUCCCGAAAGCGUGGGGAGCAAAUAGGAUUAGAUACCCUAGUAGUCCACGCCGUAAACGAUGGUCACUAAGUGUCGGGGGUCAAACCCCGGUGCUGCAG
RNAcentral lists this ribosomal RNA (803 nucleotides) under uncultured bacterium. Its description in RNAcentral is "bacterial SSU rRNA". It matches the Rfam family "Bacterial small subunit ribosomal RNA", at positions 50 to 851 of the family's 1533-position model. The record is from RNAcentral.